AAUGAUAGGUUUACUUCUAUUCCUUAUACUAAAGCUGCAUCUUUAGAAAAGAAGAUUAAUUUUUUCACCUCUUCUGUUCGAAAAUACAGUGCUUCUUUGAAGGUAGAGUAUGAGAUGGACUCAUAGAACUUGGAGAACUAACAAAAGGCCCAUGAGCAGAUGGAACAGAGGACAGACAUUUUUCUUCAUGGUAUCAGCAAAAACAGACAACAGGAAGUUGAGUCAAACAAGACCAGAUUCCCUUUAUGACAGCAACCUGAUGGUCAGAGGAUACGCAUUAAGUUUCCCAAGGUUACUGCUGCCAACAGAAGGCUAAAAGCUGUGAGGAAAGGCUGUUAUUCCUGGGCUUUAUGGGCUACCUGAGGAACUGAGGAAUUCUGUGAUUUAUGAAAUAGCUACUGUUAUCUUUUGUUGAAAUAAACACUUUAAUUAGGCCA
RNAcentral lists this long non-coding RNA (437 nucleotides) under Vulpes vulpes (red fox). RNAcentral's name for it is "lncRNA (ENSVVUG00000012303.1)". The record is from RNAcentral. Lineage: Eukaryota; Metazoa; Chordata; Mammalia; Carnivora; Canidae.